GAUGAACGCUGGCGGCGUGCCUAAUACAUGCAAGUCGAGCGAACAGACGAGGAGCUUGCUCCUCUGACGUUAGCGGCGGACGGGUGAGUAACACGUGGAUAACCUACCUAUAAGACUGGGAUAACUUCGGGAAACCGGAGCUAAUACCGGAUAAUAUAUUGAACCGCAUGGUUCAAUAGUGAAAGACGGUUUUGCUGUCUCUUAUAGAUGGAUCCGCGCCGCAUUAGCUAGUUGGUAAGGUAACGGCUUACCGAGGCAACGAUGCGUAGCCGACCUGAGAGGGUGAUCGGCCACACUGGAACUGAGACACGGUCCAGACUCCUACGGGAGGCAGCAGUAGGGAAUCUUCCGCAAUGGGCGAAAGCCUGACGGAGCAACGCCGCGUGAGUGAUGAAGGUCUUCGGAUCGUAAAACUCUGUUAUUAGGGAAGAACAAAUGUGUAAGUAACUAUGCACGUCUUGACGGUACCUAAUCAGAAAGCCACGGCUAACUACGUG
This 497-nucleotide ribosomal RNA is filed under the name uncultured bacterium. Its description in RNAcentral is "partial 16S ribosomal RNA". It matches the Rfam family "Bacterial small subunit ribosomal RNA", at positions 28 to 507 of the family's 1533-position model. The record is from RNAcentral.